AAAAAGACAAAUCCUAGUUUUCCGUGUCUAACUUUGACGGUCCGUCUUAUAUAAAAUUAUUUAUAAUUUAUAUUUUUAUUAUUGUUAGAUGAUAAAACAUGAUUAAUAUUUUAUGCGUGACUUGUCUUUUUAAUUUUUUUAUAAUUUUUUCAAAUAAAACGGACGGUCAAACGUUAGACACGGAAACCAGAGUUUGUCUUUUUU
Non-coding RNA from Oryza glumipatula, 204 nucleotides. The record is from Rfam. Lineage: Eukaryota; Viridiplantae; Streptophyta; Magnoliopsida; Poales; Poaceae.